GAACUUUCUUUGCUGAAGGAGAAUACCAGCAGAAGAAUAACAGACUUCAAUGCCAAGAAAAUAAUUGAGGACACCCAAAUCUUUGAUCUUAAAAGUAGAAUCCAAAAAAGACUUCAAAGCAUUAAUUUCUGGCAAGUCAUUUCCAGUUAAGAUAAUGUCAUCAACAUACACAGCCAACAGCACAAUAGAAGAACCAGAUUUCUUAUGAAAGAGAGAGUAAUCAUUAAGGGAGGAAGAAUACCCCUUAGAGCUCAAAGCUUCAGAAAGCUUGGCAUACCAUUGCCUAGAAGCUUGUCUUAAGCCAUACAAUGAUUUCUGAAGCAGGCAUACCAAAGGAGGAGAAGAAGAAGAGGAAGAAAUAGAAGAAGAAGAGGAAGGAACAGAAGAGGAAGCAGAAGAAGAAGAGACAACCAAACCAGGGGGCAGUUUCAUAUAAACCUCCUCAUUCAAAUCACCAUGGAGGAAAGCAUUGUUGACAUCAAGUUGGAAGAGAGGCCAGGACUGUUUCACAGCAACAGCAAUCAAAGAUUUAAUAGUUGAGAAUUUAACAACAGGGGAAAAGGUAUCAGUGAAGUCCACACCCUCUACCUGAGUGUCACCCCUAACAACCAACCUGGCUUUAUAUCUUUCCACACACCCAUCAGCUUUAUAUUUCACCUUAUAAACCCAUUUGCACCCAAUUGGCUUCUUCCCAGGUGGGAGAUGAACAAUGGACCAAGUAUUAUUGGCUUGCAAAGCCUCAAACUCCUUGGUCAUGGCAUCCUGCCAGGCAGGAUCAGAGGCAGCUUGCUGGUAGGAGGAUGGUUCAGCAGGUGCCAUGAGGACUGAGCUAUUACAACAAGGGGAUAAAGAACUAGUGCCAGAAAGGGAAGGAGGUAGGUUGCAAACAUAUUGUUUAAGAUGGGCAGGUGGAACAUGGGGUCUGGAUGAUCUUCUAAUAGCAGGUAACACAUGGUCUGGUUGAGUAGAGGAAAUAGGAAGAGCAGGAGGGCAAUGUGCUGAAGAAUCAACAGGAGAGGAAGGUGGAAUAAAGCUGGAAAUAGGUGGAUGUAAGGAGGAAGGAGGAUGGAAGGAAGAGAUACUGAGGGAAGAAUCAUCAUCAAUAGGUGGACACACAACAGGAGGAGGAAUAAUGGAGGAGCCCCCUGAAGGAGCAAAAGGGUAAAUGUUCUCAUGAAAAGACACAUCUCUAGAGACAAGUGUGAGUUUAGUCUUCAAAUUAUACAACUUAUAGCCUUUCUUGCCCAAUGGGUACCCCAGAAACACACAUGGAUCAGCUCUUGGAUGGAACUUGCCUCUAUGGUGUUUUGGUAUAGAGGCAAAGCACAAACAACCAAAAGAUCUAAGAUAGG
RNAcentral lists this long non-coding RNA (1352 nucleotides) under Nicotiana benthamiana. RNAcentral describes it as "long non-coding RNA (NBEN_LNC031651)". Lineage: Eukaryota; Viridiplantae; Streptophyta; Magnoliopsida; Solanales; Solanaceae. The record is from RNAcentral.